Molecule: transfer RNA, 95 nt
Filed under: Bacillota bacterium
Lineage: Bacteria; Bacillati; Bacillota
Description: tRNA-Ser
Rfam family: tRNA
About the family: Transfer RNA (tRNA) molecules are approximately 80 nucleotides in length. Their secondary structure includes four short double-helical elements and three loops (D, anti-codon, and T loops). Further hydrogen bonds mediate the characteristic L-shaped molecular structure. tRNAs have two regions of fundamental functional importance: the anti-codon, which is responsible for specific mRNA codon recognition, and the 3' end, to which the tRNAs corresponding amino acid is attached (by aminoacyl-tRNA synthetases). tRNAs cope with the degeneracy of the genetic code in two manners: having more than one tRNA (with a specific anti-codon) for a particular amino acid; and 'wobble' base-pairing, i.e. permitting non-standard base-pairing at the 3rd anti-codon position.
Source: RNAcentral
GGAGAGGUACCCAAGUGGUCCAAGGGGACGGUUUGCUAAAUCGUUAGUGCGGCGUUUUUGCCGCAGCGAGGGUUCGAAUCCCUCCCUCUCCGCCA